This 484-nucleotide ribosomal RNA is filed under the name uncultured bacterium. Its description in RNAcentral is "partial 16S ribosomal RNA". It matches the Rfam family "Bacterial small subunit ribosomal RNA", at positions 30 to 507 of the family's 1533-position model. The record is from RNAcentral.
AUUGAACGCUGGCGGCAGGCCUAACACAUGCAAGUCGAGCGGAUGAAGGGAGCUUGCUCCUGGCUUCAGCGGCGGACGGGUGAGUAAUGCCUAGGAAUCUGCCUGGUCGUGGGGGAUAACGUCCGGACACGGGCGCUAAUCCCGCAUACGUCCUGAGGGUGAACGUGGGGGAUCUUUGGACAUCACGCUAUCAGAUGAGCCUAGGUCGGAUUAGCUAGUUGGUGGGGUAAAGGCUUACCAAGGCGACGAUGCGUAGCUGGUCUGAGAGGAUGAUCAGUCACACUGGAACUGAGACACGGUCCAGACUCCUACGGGAGGCAGCAGUAGGGAAUAUUGGACAAUGGGCGAAAGCCUGAUCCAGCAAUGCCGCGUGUGUGAAGAAGGUCUUCGGAUCGUAAAGCACUUUAAGUUGGGAGGAAGGGCAGUAAGUUAAUACAUUGCUGUUUUGACGUUACCAACAGAAUAAGCACCGGCUAACUUCGUG